GCCAAUUUGUCGGGGAUGUAACAAUAUUCUUCACCCUCUUCUUCCGCUUGGUAGAUAGGGGAGUCAAAGUUAUGAGAGGGAGUAAAGUCAUUGGAUUCAACGGGGUUAUCAUUUAUUCUGCAUGUUUGAAUGAUUAAUUUCUUUUAGAAAAGUAAAUAUAAAAGAUGCAUAAAGGAAAAGUUUUUUUUGUCUUUUUUGUUUUUGAAAAGAUUGCCAUUUUCUUAAGAGAAAGCAAAAUAAAUGAAUAAGAAGAAUUUAAACAAAA
RNAcentral lists this long non-coding RNA (265 nucleotides) under Lathyrus oleraceus (garden pea). RNAcentral's name for it is "Pisum sativum (pea) long non-coding RNA (PSAT_LNC005945)". The record is from RNAcentral. Lineage: Eukaryota; Viridiplantae; Streptophyta; Magnoliopsida; Fabales; Fabaceae.